GAUGAACGCUAGCGGCAGGCCUAACACAUGCAAGUCGAGGGGCAGCACAUAAAGUGGUUUACUACUUUUGGUGGCGACCGGCGGACGGGUGCGUAACGCGUAUGCAACCUGCCUCCAACAGGGGAUAACGGAGAGAAAUUUCCACUAAUACCCCAUAAUAUCAGAAUCGGCAUUGGAUUUGGUUGAAAACUACGGUGGUUGGAGAUGGGCAUGCGUUGUAUUAGAUAGUUGGUGAGGUAACGGCUCACGAAGUCAACGAUACAUAGAGGGACUGAGAGGUUAGCCCCCCACACUGGUACUGAGACACGGACCAGACUCCUACGGGAGGCAGCAGUGAGGAAUAUUGGUCAAUGGGGGCAACCCUGAACCAGCCAUGCCGCGUGCAGGAAGACGGCUCUAUGAGUUGUAAACUGCUUUUACAAGGGGAUAAAUCGGUGUACGUGUACACCGUUGAAGGUACCUUGGGAAUAAGGAUCGGCUAACUCCGUGCCAGCAGCCGCCGUAA
This 505-nucleotide ribosomal RNA is filed under the name uncultured bacterium. RNAcentral describes it as "partial 16S ribosomal RNA". It matches the Rfam family "Bacterial small subunit ribosomal RNA", at positions 28 to 523 of the family's 1533-position model. The record is from RNAcentral.